GGCAUAAUGCUCAGUAACACGUCGAUAAUCUGCCCUUAGGUCAGGGAUAACCUCGGGAAACUGAGAGUAAAACCUGAUAGGAGAUAAAAUCUGGAAGGAUUUAUCUCUUAAAAGCAAUGCCUAAGGAUGAGUCGGCGGCGGAUUAGGUUGUUGGUGGGGUAAAGGCCCACCAAGCCGAAGAUCCGUACGGGCCUUGAGAGAGGGAGCCCGGAGAAGGGCACUGAGAUACUGGCCCUAGCCCUACGGGGUGCAGCAGGCGCGAAAACUUUACAAUGCACGUAAGUGUGAUAAGGGAAUCCCAAGUGCUUAUGCAAAGCAUAGGCUUUUGCCAAAAGUAAAUAUUUUGGCGAAUAAGUGGUGGGCAAGACCGGUGCCAGCAGCCGCGGUAACCCCGGCGCCACAAGUGGUGAUCGAAUUAUUGGGUCUAAAGCGUCCGUAGCCGGUUUAGUAAAUCUUUUGUGAAAUUGUUAGGCUUAACCUAACAACGUGCAGAAGACACUGCUAAACUAGAGAUCGGGAGAGGUUUGGAGAAUGCCAGGGGGAGCGGUAAAAUGCUAUAAUCCCUGGUAGACUACCAGUGGCGAAGGCGCCAAACCAGAACGAGUCUGACGGUGAGGGACGAAAGCUAGGGGAGCAAUCCGGAUUAGAUACCCGAGUAGUCCUAGCUGUAAACGCUGCGAGCUAGGUGUUGUGUAUCCUUCGUGGAUAUGCAGUAUCGAAGUGAAGAUGGUAAGCUCGCCACCUGGGGAGUACGGUCGCAAGACUGAAACUUAAAGGAAUUGGCGGGGGAGCACCACAAGGGGUGCGGCGUGCGGUUUAAUCUAAUUCAACGCAGAGAAUCUCACCAGGGGCGACGGCAGGAUGAAAGUCAGAUUAAAGGUCUUACUUGAUGAGCCGAGAGGUAGUGCAUGGCCGUCGUCAGCUCGUGCUGUAAGGUGUCCUGUUAAGUCAGGCAACGAGCGAGACCCAUACCUACAAUUGCUAACGGGUUCUUUGGAACGACUGAGCACAUUGUAGGGACUGCCUUGGAAACAAGGAGGAAGGUGUGGGCUACGGUAGGUCUGUAUGCUCCGAAUCUCCUGGGCGACACGCGCGCAACAAUGGUAAGGACAAUGGGAUACGACUCCGAAAGGAGAAGUUAAUCCUCGAAACCUUAUCUUAGUCUGGAUUGAGGGAUGUAACCCGCCCUCAUGACACUGGAAUCCCUAGUAAUCGGACGUCAUCAUCGUCCGGUGAAUAUGUCCCUGCUCCUUGCACACACCGCCCGUCAAGCCACCCGAGUAGGGUCUAGAUGAGGCCUUAUUUUUAGUAAUGUCGAAUCUAGGCUUUGCGAGGAGGGCUAAGUCGUCACAAGGUA
RNAcentral lists this ribosomal RNA (1357 nucleotides) under metagenome. RNAcentral describes it as "bacterial SSU rRNA". It matches the Rfam family "Archaeal small subunit ribosomal RNA". The record is from RNAcentral.